GAUGAACGCUGGCGGCGUGCCUAAUACAUGCAAGUCGAGCGAACGGACGAGAAGCUUGCUUCUCUGAUGUUAGCGGCGGACGGGUGAGUAACACGUGGAUAACCUACCUAUAAGACUGGGAUAACUUCGGGAAACCGGAGCUAAUACCGGAUAAUAUUUUGAACCGCAUGGUUCAAAAGUGAAGAAGGGCUUGCCGGCACCUAUUAGUGGAUCCGGCCUUGAGUAAGUUGGUGGGAAGGGAACCGGCUAACCAAGGAACGAUGCCUAAGCCGACAUGGGGGGUGGACCGGCCACACGGGAACGGAGACACGGCCCAGCCUCCGACGGGAGGCAGAAGUGGGGAAGAUGGCAAAAGGGGCGAAAGCCGGCGGAAGCACCGCCGCGUGGAGAAAGAAGGUCUUCGGAUCGUAAACUUCUGUCAGCGGGGAAAAACAGAGUAGAAUUAAUAGCGGCACUCAUUGACGGUACCUAAACAAAAAGCCCGGGCUAACUCCGGC
This 497-nucleotide ribosomal RNA is filed under the name uncultured bacterium. RNAcentral's name for it is "partial 16S ribosomal RNA". It matches the Rfam family "Bacterial small subunit ribosomal RNA", at positions 28 to 508 of the family's 1533-position model. The record is from RNAcentral.